CCCUUCAGAGGGGGACAACAGUUGGAAACGACUGCUAAUACCGCAUACGAUCCAAUCUCGGCAUCGAGACUGGAUGAAAGGUGGCCUCUAUCUAUAAGCUAUCACUGAAGGAGGGGAUUGCGUCUGAUUAGCUAGUUGGAGGGGUAACGGCCCACCAAGGCGAUGAUCAGUAGCCGGUCUGAGAGGAUGAACGGCCACAUUGGGACUGAGACACGGCCCAG
This 221-nucleotide ribosomal RNA is filed under the name uncultured bacterium. Its description in RNAcentral is "partial 16S ribosomal RNA". It matches the Rfam family "Bacterial small subunit ribosomal RNA", at positions 129 to 334 of the family's 1533-position model. The record is from RNAcentral.